UGGGAGGUAGCUCAGAGGCAGAGCAUUUGCCCAGCAUAUGCAAGGCUCUGGGUUCAAUCCCCAGCCCCGCAG
RNAcentral lists this transfer RNA (72 nucleotides) under Ictidomys tridecemlineatus (thirteen-lined ground squirrel). RNAcentral's name for it is "Spermophilus tridecemlineatus (thirteen-lined ground squirrel) tRNA". It matches the Rfam family "tRNA". Rfam says of the family: Transfer RNA (tRNA) molecules are approximately 80 nucleotides in length. Lineage: Eukaryota; Metazoa; Chordata; Mammalia; Rodentia; Sciuridae. The record is from Rfam by way of RNAcentral.